UGGGGAAUUUUGCACAAUGGGGGAAACCCUGAUGCAGCGACGCCGCGUGAUUUAGAAGGCCUUCGGGUUGUAAAAAUCUUUUUUACGGGAGGAAAAUGACAGUACCGUAAGAAUAAGGUCCGGCUAAAUACGUGCCAGCAGCCGCGGUAAUACGUAUGGACCGAGCGUUGUCCGGAAUCAUUGGGCGUAAAGGGUACGUAGGCGGCCUAGUAAGUUAGAAGUGAAAUAAUAUAGCUCAACUAUAUAAAGCUUUUAAAACUGCUAGGCUUGAGAGAUGGAAGGGAAAGUGGAAUUCCUAGUGUAGCGGUGAAAUGCGCAGAUAUUAGGAAGAAUACCGGUGGCGAAGGCGACUUUCUGGUCAUCAUCUGACGCUGAGAUACGAAAGCGUGGGUAGCAAACAGG
Molecule: ribosomal RNA, 402 nt
Filed under: bacterium
Lineage: Bacteria
Description: partial 16S ribosomal RNA
Rfam family: Bacterial small subunit ribosomal RNA
Source: RNAcentral